CCUACGGGUGGCAGCAGUCGAGAAUCAUUCACAAUGGGGGAAACCCUGAUGGUGCGACGCCGCGUGGGGGAAUGAAGUUCUUCGGAUUGUAAACCCCUGUCAUGUGGGAGCAAAUUACAACGCUCGUACCACACCAGGAAGAGCCGGCUAACUCUGUGCCAGCAGCUGCGGUAAUACAGACGUCUCAAGCGUUGUUCGGAAUCACUGGGCGUAAAGCGUGCGUAGGCUGUUUCGUAAGUCGUGUGUGAAAGGUGCGGGCUCAACCCGCGGACGGCAGAUGAUACUGCGAGACUAGAGUAAGGGAGGGGGAACCGGAAUUCGCGGUGUAGCAGUGAAAUGCGUAGAUAUCGAGAGGAACACUCGUGGCGAAGGCGGGUUCCUGGACAUUAACUGACGCUGAGGCACGAAGGCCAGGGGAGCGAAAGGGAUUAGAUACCCUGGUAGUC
This 446-nucleotide ribosomal RNA is filed under the name uncultured bacterium. RNAcentral's name for it is "partial 16S ribosomal RNA". It matches the Rfam family "Bacterial small subunit ribosomal RNA", at positions 338 to 795 of the family's 1533-position model. The record is from RNAcentral.